AGUGAACGCUGGCGGUAGGCCUAACACAUGCAAGUCGAACGGCAGCACCGUAAGAGCUUGCUCUUACGGGUGGCGAGUGGCGGACGGGUGAGGAAUACAUCGGAAUCUACUUUUUCGUGGGGGAUAACGUAGGGAAACUUACGCUAAUACCGCAUACGACCUACGGGUGAAAGCAUGGGAUCUUCGGACCUUGCGCGAUUGAAUGAGCCGAUGUCGGAUUAGCUAGUUGGCGGGGUAAAGGCCCACCAAGGCGACGAUCCGUAGCUGGUCUGAGAGGAUGGUCAGCCACACUGGAACUGAGACACGGUCCAGACUCCUACGGGAGGCAGCAGUGGGGAAUAUUGGACAAAGGGCGCAAGCCUGAUCCAGCCAUACCGCGUGGGUGAAGAAGGUCUUCGGGUUGUAAAGCCCUUUUGUUGGGAAAGAAAAGCAGCAGGUUAAUACCCCGCUGUUCUGACGGUACCCAAAGAAUAAGCACCGGCUAACUUCGUG
RNAcentral lists this ribosomal RNA (492 nucleotides) under uncultured bacterium. RNAcentral's name for it is "partial 16S ribosomal RNA". It matches the Rfam family "Bacterial small subunit ribosomal RNA", at positions 29 to 507 of the family's 1533-position model. The record is from RNAcentral.